CUACGGGCGGCUGCAGUGAGGAAUAUUGCACAAUGGGGGGAACCCUGAUGCAGCAACACCGCGUGGAGGAUGACGCAUUUCGGUGUGUAAACUCCUUUUAUAUGUCAAGAAAAUGACGGUAGCAUAUGAAUAAGCACCGGCUAACUCCGUGCCAGCAGCCGCGGUAAUACGGAGGGUGCAAGCGUUACUCGGAAUCACUGGGCGUAAAGGACGCGUAGGCGGGUUGGAAAGUCAGGUGUGAAAUCCUACAGCUUAACUGUAGAACUGCACUUGAAACUUCUAAUCUAGAGUAUGGGAGGGGAGAUGGAAUUAGUGGUGUAGGGGUAAAAUCCGUAGAUAUCACUAGGAAUACCUAAAGCGAAGGCGAUCUCCUGGAACAUUACUGACGCUAAGGCGUGAAAGCGUGGGGAGCAAACAGGAUUAGAUACCCUCGUAGUC
RNAcentral lists this ribosomal RNA (438 nucleotides) under uncultured bacterium. RNAcentral describes it as "partial 16S ribosomal RNA". It matches the Rfam family "Bacterial small subunit ribosomal RNA", at positions 339 to 795 of the family's 1533-position model. The record is from RNAcentral.